GACGAACGCUGGCGGCGUGCCUAAUACAUGCAAGUAGAACGCUGAAACUUGGUGCUUGCACCGAGCGGAUGAGUUGCGAACGGGUGAGUAACGCGUAGGUAACCUGCCUAGUAGCGGGGGAUAACUAUUGGAAACGAUAGCUAAUACCGCAUAAGAGUAGAUGUUGCAUGACAUUUGCUUAAAAGGUGCAAUUGCACCACUACCAGAUGGACCUGCGUUGUAUUAGCUAGUUGGUGGGGUAACGGCUCACCAAGGCGACGAUACAUAGCCGACCUGAGAGGGUGAUCGGCCACACUGGGACUGAGACACGGCCCAGACUCCUACGGGAGGCAGCAGUAGGGAAUCUUCGGCAAUGGACGGAAGUCUGACCGAGCAACGCCGCGUGAGUGAAGAAGGUUUUCGGAUCGUAAAGCUCUGUUGUAAGAGAAGAACGAGUGUGAGAGUGGAAAGUUCACACUGUGACGGUAGCUUACCAGAAAGGGACGGCUAACUACGUG
This 497-nucleotide ribosomal RNA is filed under the name uncultured bacterium. RNAcentral describes it as "partial 16S ribosomal RNA". It matches the Rfam family "Bacterial small subunit ribosomal RNA", at positions 28 to 507 of the family's 1533-position model. The record is from RNAcentral.